UACCAGCUCUCCGAGUUGUAGGGACGAUUAUUGGGCUUAAAGCGUCCGUAGCUGGCUUAGCAAGUCUCCUGUUAAAUUCAGCGACCUAAUCGUUGAGCCGCGGGAGAUACUACUAGGCUAGGAGGCGAGAGAGGUCGACGGUACUUUCGGGGUAGGGGUGAAAUCCUAUAAUCCCGGGAGGACCACCAGUGGCGAAGGCUGUCGACUAGAACGCGCUCGACGGUGAGGGACGAAAGCUGGGGGAGCGAACCAGAUUAGAUACCCGGGUAGUCCCAGCUGUAAACGAUGCGGGCUAGGUGUUGGGGUGGCUACGUGCCACUUCAGUGCCGCAGGGAAGCCAUUAAGCCCGCCGCCUGGGGAGUACGGCCGCAAGGCUGAAACUUAAGGAAUUGCGGGGGAGCACCACAAGGCGUGAAGCUUGCGGUUC
Molecule: ribosomal RNA, 427 nt
Filed under: uncultured archaeon
Lineage: Archaea
Description: bacterial SSU rRNA
Rfam family: Archaeal small subunit ribosomal RNA
Source: RNAcentral